This 76-nucleotide transfer RNA is filed under the name Geminicoccaceae bacterium. Its description in RNAcentral is "tRNA-Glu". It matches the Rfam family "tRNA". Rfam says of the family: Transfer RNA (tRNA) molecules are approximately 80 nucleotides in length. The record is from RNAcentral. Lineage: Bacteria; Pseudomonadati; Pseudomonadota; Alphaproteobacteria; Geminicoccales; Geminicoccaceae.
GUCCCCUUCGUCUAGUGGCCUAGGACGUCGCCCUCUCACGGCGAAAACAGGGGUUCGAGUCCCCUAGGGGACGCCA